GCCGAAGUGGUGAAAUUGGCAGACACGUACGGUUCAGGUCCGUAUGGGAGCAAUCCCUUGUGGGUUCGAAUCCCAUCUUCGGCA
Molecule: transfer RNA, 84 nt
Filed under: bacterium
Lineage: Bacteria
Also listed under: 1 other name
Description: tRNA-Leu
Rfam family: tRNA
About the family: Transfer RNA (tRNA) molecules are approximately 80 nucleotides in length. Their secondary structure includes four short double-helical elements and three loops (D, anti-codon, and T loops).
Source: RNAcentral